RNAcentral lists this ribosomal RNA (496 nucleotides) under uncultured bacterium. RNAcentral's name for it is "partial 16S ribosomal RNA". It matches the Rfam family "Bacterial small subunit ribosomal RNA", at positions 29 to 507 of the family's 1533-position model. The record is from RNAcentral.
AUGAACGCUGGCGGCGUGCCUAAUACAUGCAAGUCGAGCGAACGGACGAGAAGCUUGCUUCUCUGAUGUUAGCGGCGGACGGGUGAGUAACACGUGGAUAACCUACCUAUAAGACUGGGAUAACUUCGGGAAACCGUAGCUAAUACCGGAUAAUAUUUUGAACCGCAUGGUUCAAAAGUGAAAGACGGUCUUGCUGUCACUUAUAGAUGGAUCCGCGCUGCAUUAGCUAGUUGGUAAGGUAACGGCUUACCAAGGCAACGAUGCAUAGCCGACCUGAGAGGGUGAUCGGCCACACUGGAACUGAGACACGGUCCAGACUCCUACGGGAGGCAGCAGUAGGGAAUCUUCCGCAAUGGUCGAAAGCCUGACGGAGCAACGCCGCGUGUGUGAUGAAGGUCUUCGGAUCGUAAAACUCUGUUAUUAGGGAAGAACAUAUGUGUAAGUAACUGUGCACAUCUUGACGGUACCUAAUCAGAAAGCCACGGCUAACUACGUG